GGGGGGAUGUCGGAUCCUGGGCUGUGUCCCGGCGCCCUGUGCUCCCGGGCCUGCGCUGUUGGAUUCGCGCUCCCGGCCGUGCAGCCCCCU
RNAcentral lists this microRNA precursor (90 nucleotides) under Canis lupus familiaris (dog). RNAcentral's name for it is "mir-8799 microRNA precursor family". It matches the Rfam family "mir-8799 microRNA precursor family". The record is from Rfam by way of RNAcentral. Lineage: Eukaryota; Metazoa; Chordata; Mammalia; Carnivora; Canidae. RNAcentral also lists the same sequence under 1 other name.